UUCUCAGUGGUCCAGUGGUUAAGACUCCAUGCUCCCAAUGCAGGGGGUGCAGGUUCCAUUCCUGCUUGGGGAA
This 73-nucleotide transfer RNA is filed under the name Bos taurus (domestic cattle). It matches the Rfam family "tRNA". Rfam says of the family: Transfer RNA (tRNA) molecules are approximately 80 nucleotides in length. Their secondary structure includes four short double-helical elements and three loops (D, anti-codon, and T loops). RNAcentral also lists the same sequence under 3 other names. Lineage: Eukaryota; Metazoa; Chordata; Mammalia; Artiodactyla; Bovidae. The record is from Rfam by way of RNAcentral.